RNAcentral lists this ribosomal RNA (1354 nucleotides) under uncultured bacterium. Its description in RNAcentral is "bacterial SSU rRNA". It matches the Rfam family "Bacterial small subunit ribosomal RNA", at positions 51 to 1399 of the family's 1533-position model. The record is from RNAcentral.
ACACAUGCAAGUCGAGCGAAGCGCUUAAAGUUUGAUUUUUCGGAUGAAGACUUUUGUGACUGAGCGGGCGGACGAGUGAGUAACGCGUGGGUAACCUGCCUCAUACAGGGGGAUAACAGUUAGAAAUGACUGCUAAUACCGCAUAAGACCACAGGGUCGCAUGACCCGGUGGUAAAAACUCCGGUGGUAUGAGAUGGACCCGCGUCUGAUUAGCUAGUUGGUGGGGUAACGGCUCACCAAGGCGACGAUCAGUAGCCGACCUGAGAGGGUGACCGGCCACAUUGGGACUGAGACACGGCCCAAACUCCUACGGGAGGCAGCAGUGGGGAAUAUUGCACAAUGGGCGAAAGCCUGAUGCAGCGACGCCGCGUGAAGGAUGAAGUAUUUCGGUAUGUAAACUUCUAUCAGCAGGGAAGAAAAUGACGGUACCUGACUAAGAAGCCCCGGCUAACUACGUGCCAGCAGCCGCGGUAAUACGUAGGGGGCAAGCGUUAUCCGGAUUUACUGGGUGUAAAGGGAGCGUAGACGGCAUGGCAAGUCUGAAGUGAAAGCCCGGGGCUCAACCCCGGGACUGCUUUGGAAACUGUCAGGCUAGAGUGCUGGAGAGGUAAGUGGAAUUCCUAGUGUAGCGGUGAAAUGCGUAGAUAUUAGGAGGAACACCAGUGGCGAAGGCGGCUUGCUGGACAGUAACUGACGUUGAGGCUCGAAAGCGUGGGGAGCAAACAGGAUUAGAUACCCUGGUAGUCCGAGCUAGUUGCCGAAGUACUACUAGGGGUAAGGGUAGCAAAAAUGUUCGAGCGCAGCAGCAGCAGCGAUAGGUAGUACAACGGGGGAAUACGUUAGCAGAGAAAGAAACUCAAAAUAAUUGACGGGGACCCACACAAGCGGUGAAGCAUAAGGUUUGAUUCGUAGCAACGCGAAGAACCUUGCAUGAUCUUGACAUCCCGAUGGCCGCUCCGUAAUGGGAGUUUGUCUUAAAAACAUCGAGUACAGGUGGUGCAUGGUUGUCGUCAGCUCGUGUCGUGAGAUGUUGGGUUAAGUCCCGCAGCGAGCGCAACCCCUAUCUUUAGUAACCAGCAUUUAAGAUGGGCACUCUAGAGAGACUGCCAGGGAUAACCUGGAGGAAGGUGGGGAUGACGUCAAAUCAUCAUGCCCCUUAUGACCGGGGCUACACACGUGCUACAAUGGCGUAAACAAAGGGAAGCAAAGCUGUGAGGCCGAGCAAAUCCCAAAAAUAACGUCUCAGUUCGGAUUGUAGUCUGCAACUCGACUACAUGAAGCUGGAAUCGCUAGUAAUCGCGAAUCAGAAUGUCGCGGUGAAUACGUUCCCGGGUCUUGCACACACCGCCCGUCA